AUUGAACGCUGGCGGCAGGCCUAACACAUGCAAGUCGAACGAGUGGCGGACGGGUGUGUUAUGUCUUGGACACUGCCUGAUGGAGGGGGAUAACUACUGGACACGGUAGCUAAUACCGCAUACCAUCGGAUGUGCCCAGAUGGGAUUAGCUAGUAGGUGGGGUAACGGCUCACCUAGGCGCCGAUCCCUAGCUGGUCUGAGAGGAUGACCAGCCAAACUGGAACAGAAGCACGGUCAGAAAUCCUGCAGGAGGCAGCAGUGGGGAAUAUUGCACAAUGGGCGCAAGCCUGAUGCAGCCAUGCCGCGUGUAUGAAGAAGGCCUUCGGGUUGUAAAGUACUUUCAGCGGGGAGGCGUUAACCGCAGAAGAAGCACCGGCUAACUCCGGGCAAGCAACAGCGGUAAUAC
RNAcentral lists this ribosomal RNA (406 nucleotides) under uncultured bacterium. RNAcentral describes it as "partial 16S ribosomal RNA". It matches the Rfam family "Bacterial small subunit ribosomal RNA", at positions 30 to 526 of the family's 1533-position model. The record is from RNAcentral.